GACGAACGCUGGCGGCGUGCUUAACACAUGCAAGUCGAGCGGUAAGGCCCUUUCGGGGGUACACGAGCGGCGAACGGGUGAGUAACACGUGGGUGACCUGCCCUCAGCUCUGGGAUAAGCCUGGGAAACCGGGUCUAAUACUGGAUAUGACUCCAUGACGCAUGUUGUGGGGUGGAAAGCCUUGUGCGGCUGAGGAUGGGCCCGCGGCCUAUCAGCUUGUUGGUGGGGUGANGGCCCUACCAAGGCGACGACGGGUAGCCGGCCUGAGAGGGCGACCGGCCACACUGGGACUGAGACACGGCCCAGACUCCUACGGGAGGCAGCAGUGGGGAAUCUUGCGCAAUGGGCGAAAGCCUGACGCAGCGACGCCGCGUGAGGGAUGACGGCCU
This 389-nucleotide ribosomal RNA is filed under the name uncultured bacterium. RNAcentral describes it as "bacterial SSU rRNA". It matches the Rfam family "Bacterial small subunit ribosomal RNA", at positions 28 to 417 of the family's 1533-position model. The record is from RNAcentral.